RNAcentral lists this ribosomal RNA (229 nucleotides) under uncultured bacterium. Its description in RNAcentral is "partial 16S ribosomal RNA". It matches the Rfam family "Bacterial small subunit ribosomal RNA", at positions 568 to 796 of the family's 1533-position model. The record is from RNAcentral.
UGCGUAGGCGGCGUUAUAAGUCAGAUGUGAAAGCCCACCGCUUAACGGUGGAACUGCAUUUGAUACUGUAGUGCUUGAAUCAGGCUGAGGUCAGCGGAAUGUGUCAUGUAGCGGUGAAAUGCAUAGAUAUGACAUAGAACACCAAUUGCGAAGGCAGCUGGCUAGACCUGUAUUGACGCUGAGGCACGAAAGCGUGGGGAGCGAACAGGAUUAGAUACCCUGGUAGUCC